UACAGAGGUCUCAAGCGCUGUUCGGAUUCAUUGGGCGUAAAGGGUGCGUAGGUGGCGGGGCAAGUUUGGUGUGAAAUCCCGGGGCUCAACCUCGGAACUGCACUGAAUACUGCCUUGCUAGAGCACUGGAGAGGGAACUGGAAUUUACGGUGUAGCAGUGAAAUGCGUAGAUAUCGUAAGGAAGACCAGUGGCGAAGGCGAGUUCCUGGACAGUUGCUGACACUGAGGCACGAAGGCUAGGGGAGCAAACGGG
This 253-nucleotide ribosomal RNA is filed under the name uncultured bacterium. Its description in RNAcentral is "partial 16S ribosomal RNA". It matches the Rfam family "Bacterial small subunit ribosomal RNA", at positions 524 to 776 of the family's 1533-position model. The record is from RNAcentral.